RNAcentral lists this ribosomal RNA (497 nucleotides) under uncultured bacterium. RNAcentral describes it as "partial 16S ribosomal RNA". It matches the Rfam family "Bacterial small subunit ribosomal RNA", at positions 28 to 507 of the family's 1533-position model. The record is from RNAcentral.
GACGAACGCUGGCGGCGUGCCUAAUACAUGCAAGUUGAGCGAUGAAGAUUGGUGCUUGCACCAAUUUGAAGAGCAGCGAACGGGUGAGUAACGCGUGGGGAAUCUGCCUUUGAGCGGGGGACAACAUUUGGAAACGAAUGCUAAUACCGCAUAACAACUUUAAACAUAAGUUUUAAGUUUGAAAGAUGCAAUUGCAUCACUCAAAGAUGAUCCCGCGUUGUAUUAGCUAGUUGGUGAGGUAAAGGCUCACCAAGGCGAUGAUACAUAGCCGACCUGAGAGGGUGAUCGGCCACAUUGGGACUGAGACACGGCCCAAACUCCUACGGGAGGCAGCAGUAGGGAAUCUUCGGCAAUAGACGAAAGUCUGACCGAGCAACGCCGCGUGAGUGAAGAAGGUUGUCGGAUCGUAAAACUCUGUUGGUAGAGAAGAACGUUGGUGAGAGUGGAAAGCUCAUCAAGUGACGGUAACUACACAGAAAGGGACGGCUAACUACGUG